UAGGGGCUAGGGGGAGAGUUGACGUGCUCUGUUAUUCUCAAAUCGUCGGAAAUGGAGACCCGAAGUCCGAGGGCGGCGCAGACGAGCCAUUGGUGUUCCACCGGUUGACGUCGAUGCCUCGCCCCCAAGAGAUCCAGGUUGGCGGAAACUGCUUCCGGAGGGAAGCGAGGAAUGUCUCACGCCCGGGAACCAGGUCAGGCGCGGAAGCGAGCAACCCGACCGGGGAUGCUGGAUGCCUUGGGAUAGCGGGGCGGAGGAGAUCGGUGAACUUGCACUUUUGGUGACGAGCGUCCACCGAGGACGCGCCCACUA
Molecule: signal recognition particle RNA, 312 nt
Filed under: Candidatus Thalassarchaeum sp.
Lineage: Archaea; Methanobacteriati; Thermoplasmatota; Candidatus Poseidoniia; Candidatus Poseidoniales; Candidatus Thalassarchaeaceae
Description: signal recognition particle sRNA
Rfam family: Archaeal signal recognition particle RNA
Source: RNAcentral